UCACAGCACAGCUGAGCUUGGACUUCUCGUUCCUGUUUUGUGAGUUUUCCCCUUAUAAUAAAUAAAAAUAUAAUUGUUUUAUCUUUUAGCUAGCCUGGUUAUUACCCGAAUCGAGCUAACUUCUACAGUUGGCACCCAACAUGGGGCUCAGGUCUCCAGCAGCUCUAGCCAGAUGCUGUCAGGUUCCAUGCUGUUCAUUUGGGUAUAGAAUUACCAUACAGCAGCCCUGAGUAGCUGCUAUCUGUGGUCCUUCAUAUUUUCUCCUUAAAUGCCUCAGAGCUGCUCCAAGUGCUCAGGUACCUUGGCCACCCACAACUGCAUGGCUGGCUUCUGGGUCUAGUUUUUCCGGCACUUGUGAAAGCUCAGGUGGCACGUGGGCAUCUCUAGUUGUCUCUGUUUGGCAUUGCUUUCUUGCUCUCUUUGUGUUCGUGCAGCUGAUGACCAGUCAGGGACUUCUGUGGAGUGCACGGUCUGUGAUUUACGUCAAAUAAUUGUUUUAUUUUGAGCAUAUAUUUCAGUAUUUAAUGAUAAAUUCAGAUUCAAGUUGGCCACAUGGCUACAAGUGCACCACAACACCUACCAGCAGGUAACAGUUAUUGGAUCUACGCCAGCUCAAACUCAACCACAGUAACAGCAGAAUUUUGGUGAAAAGCGAUGAUCCUCGCUUUACAAUGGGAGCACUGGAGAUUCCGUGUGUGGAAGACAAGGCAGUCUACUUUGUGGCUGUGGAAAGUGGGACACCACCCUGGAGCAUCAGGUGACAAGACGUGGAGACACCAUGACUACGCAAGUCUUUUAAAGGAAAACCCGCUUAACUGAGGUGGCAGCCCCUCGUCAUCAUGGCAGGGAACAUGGAAGUGUGCAGGUUCCAUGGUACUGGCUACAUCUUGAUCAGAAGGCAACAGGAAGUGGACUAUGACACUGGGAGUAGCUUGAGCACAGAACUCCAAGCCCACUCCGCAGUGACACACUUCCUCCAGCAAGACCACACCUCCUAAUAGUGUUACACCCUUUGAAAGUCAUCUUCUUCAAACCACUACAACUCCUAUGGUGAAGGAACUGCUUGAGGAUUGGGUAAGAAAGGCAUUCUGGACAAGUCAGCAAAAGAGAAACGAAGGAACGGAUGAACAAGUGAAUGAAGCCCGGAGGAGACAUUCCUUCUGUGAGGAACGCAACGUGACAUGCAUUCUGCGAAAAAUCAGACAUCAGCAACUGAAAAAGAGGGAGAAACAGGGAGGCAAGAAAGGGAAUGAGAAGGAAACCAAACGCCCCGGUGAUAUGCUGCCAAAACACUUCAACCCAAGACCCGAGACUGAAGCUUUGUGAGUUAAAAUUCAUCCUUAGUUGUGUGUCUGAAAGGAGCUUUGUCAACAGGGAAGUAAAGACAGCAAUAGAGAAGGCCCAGUGUCCUCUCUGCCUGCAUUUCUCUUAUACAUGCUUUCUUCAUAUUCAUAUGCACCAACUGAGACAAAUACAACCUACUAACGGCCACAAGGAGCAUUUUGAUCACCCAGAGGCUCUCGUUAAUAUCUACGCCCAUACCAGUCACUGUUUUCCUUGUGAUGGGAGAAGGUAGAGGUAACUGGACACGUACAAAAACUGGACCAGGGACGAAACUAAGAUCUUGCCUUUGUCCUUAUGGACAGAUGAAACAUAAGAGCUAGGCCUAACUAUCAGGGAACAAGUAGGAAAGAGACAUGCUUAUCCGCCAUACUCCUGCCAUCUGAAAACCUGAGUCCCACCCUCAAGAGCCAGGUAUUUAUUGCUGAUUGGUCAGUUGACCCUCCUAUGGGAAUGACCUCUCAGAUGGUGGCAGAGCAGCUUCGAUUGUUUGGCAUGAUGAAAAGUAUAAAAGUAUAACAUAAAAGAAUAAACAGAUUCCUUUUUCGUGAA
This is a long non-coding RNA of Myodes glareolus (Bank vole), 1893 nucleotides long. RefSeq lists it as uncharacterized. The record is from RefSeq and is a predicted model, not a curated record. Lineage: Eukaryota; Metazoa; Chordata; Mammalia; Rodentia; Cricetidae.